UGGGGAAUAUUGGACAAUGGGGGAAACCCUGAUCCAGCCAUGCCGCGUGAGUGAUGAAGGCCUUAGGGUUGUAAAGCUCUUUUGUCAGGGAAGAUGAUGACGGUACCUGAAGAAUAAGCACCGGCUAACUUCGUGCCAGCAGCCGCGGUAAUACGAAGGGUGCUAGCGUUGUUCGGAAUUACUGGGCGUAAAGCGCGCGUAGGCGGCUUUUCAAGUCAGGGGUGAAAUCCCACGGCUCAACCGUGGAAUUGCCUUUGAAACUGUAAAGCUCGAGUGUCGGAGGGGAUGGCGGAAUUGCCAAUGUAGAGGUGAAAUUCGUAGAUAUUGGCAGGAACACCGGUGGCGAAGGUGGCCAUCUGGACGACAACUGACGCUGAGGCGCGAAAGCGUGGGGAUCAAACAGGAUUAGAUACCCUGGUAGUCCACGCUGUAAACGAUGGAUGCUAGCUGUUGGGGGUACCCUCAGUAGCGUAGCUAACGCGUUAAGCAUCCCGCU
This 496-nucleotide ribosomal RNA is filed under the name uncultured Pseudomonadota bacterium. RNAcentral describes it as "bacterial SSU rRNA". It matches the Rfam family "Bacterial small subunit ribosomal RNA", at positions 355 to 873 of the family's 1533-position model. The record is from RNAcentral. Lineage: Bacteria; Pseudomonadati; Pseudomonadota.